Molecule: ribosomal RNA, 480 nt
Filed under: uncultured bacterium
Lineage: Bacteria
Description: bacterial SSU rRNA
Rfam family: Bacterial small subunit ribosomal RNA
Source: RNAcentral
AGUUUGAUCAUGGCUCAGGACGAACGCUGGCGGCGUGCUUAACACAUGCAAGUCGAACGGUAAGGCCCUUCGGGGUACACGAGUGGCGAACGGGUGAGUAACACGUGGGUGAUCUGCCCUGCACUUCGGGAUAAGCCUGGGAAACUGGGUCUAAUACCGGAUAGGACCAUGGACUUCACGGUUUGUGGUGGAAAGCUUUCGCGGUGUGGGAUGGGCCCGCGGCCUAUCAGCUUGUUGGUGGGGUAAUGGCCUACCAAGGCGACGACGGGUAGCCGGCCUGAGAGGGUGUCCGGCCACACUGGGACUGAGAUACGGCCCAGACUCCUACGGGAGGCAGCAGUGGGGAAUAUUGCACAAUGGGCGCAAGCCUGAUGCAGCGACGCCGCGUGAGGGAUGACGGCCUUCGGGUUGUAAACCUCUUUCAAUAGGGACGAAGCGCAAGUGACGGUACCUAUAGAAGAAGCACCGGCCAACUACGUG